AUCCAGCGAACUUGGCAGAGAUUGCCUUGGUGGCCUUCGGGAACGCUGAGACAGGUGCUGCAUGGCUGUCGUCAGCUCGUGUUGUGAAAUGUUGGGUUAAGUCCCGNAACGAGCGCAACCCUUAUCCUUUGUUGCCAGCGAUUCGGUCGGGAACUCAAAGGAGACUGCCGGUGAUAAACCGGAGGAAGGUGGGGAUGACGUCAAGUCAUCAUGGCCCUUACGAGUAGGGCUACACACGUGCUACAAUGGCGCAUACAAAGAGAAGCGACCUCGCGAGAGCAAGCGGACCUCAUAAAGUGCGUCGUAGUCCGGAUCGGAGUCUGCAACUCGACUCCGUGAAGUCGGAAUCGCUAGUAAUCGUGGAUCAGAAUGCCACGGUGAAUACGUUCCCGGGCCUUGUACACACCGCCCGUCACACCAUGGGAGUGGGUUGCAAAAGAAGUAGGUAGCUUAACCUUCGGGAGGGCGCUUACCACUUUGUGAUUCAUGACUGGGGUGAAGUCGUAACAAGGUAGGCGUAGCGAG
This 525-nucleotide ribosomal RNA is filed under the name uncultured bacterium. RNAcentral describes it as "bacterial SSU rRNA". It matches the Rfam family "Bacterial small subunit ribosomal RNA", at positions 986 to 1509 of the family's 1533-position model. The record is from RNAcentral.